GUGGGUGUGUCGGAGUGGUUAUCGGGCAUUAGUAGAAAUCAUGUGGGCUUUGCCCGCGCAGGUUCAAAUCCUGCCGCUCACG
Molecule: non-coding RNA, 82 nt
Organism: Ipomoea nil (Japanese morning glory)
Lineage: Eukaryota; Viridiplantae; Streptophyta; Magnoliopsida; Solanales; Convolvulaceae
Source: Rfam